AAGCCAUCAGGAAUAGGGGGACUUUUGC
Molecule: non-coding RNA, 28 nt
Filed under: Cricetulus griseus (Chinese hamster)
Lineage: Eukaryota; Metazoa; Chordata; Mammalia; Rodentia; Cricetidae
Source: RNAcentral